RNAcentral lists this ribosomal RNA (164 nucleotides) under uncultured cyanobacterium. Its description in RNAcentral is "partial 16S rRNA". It matches the Rfam family "Bacterial small subunit ribosomal RNA", at positions 348 to 526 of the family's 1533-position model. The record is from RNAcentral. Lineage: Bacteria; Bacillati; Cyanobacteriota.
GCAGCAGUGGGGAAUUUUCCGCAAUGGGCGAAAGCCUGACGGAGCAAUACCGCGUGAGGGAGGAAGGCUCUUGGGUUGUAAACCUCUUUUCUCAGGGAAGAAAAAAAUGACGGUACCUGAGGAAUAAGCAUCGGCUAACUCCGUGCCAGCAGCCGCGGUAAUAC